This 427-nucleotide ribosomal RNA is filed under the name uncultured bacterium. RNAcentral describes it as "partial 16S ribosomal RNA". It matches the Rfam family "Bacterial small subunit ribosomal RNA", at positions 355 to 774 of the family's 1533-position model. The record is from RNAcentral.
UGGGGAAUAUUGCACAAUGGGCGCAAGCCUGAUGCAGCCAUGCCGCGUGUAUGAAGAAGGCCUUCGGGUUGUAAAGUACUUUCAGCGAGGAGGAAGGCGGUAAGGUUAAUAACCUUAUCGAUUGACGUUACUCGCAGAAGAAGCACCGGCUAACUCCGUGCCAGCAGCCGCGGUAAUACGGAGGGUGCAAGCGUUAAUCGGAAUUACUGGGCGUAAAGCGCACGCAGGUGGUCUGUCAAGUCGGAUGUGAAAUCCCCGGGCUCAACCUGGGAACUGCAUUCGAAACUGGCAGGCUAGAGUCUUGUAGAGGGGGGUAGAAUUCCAGGUGUAGCGGUGAAAUGCGUAGAGAUCUGGAGGAAUACCGGUGGCGAAGGCGGCCCCCUGGACAAAGACUGACGCUCAGGUGCGAAAGCGUGGGGAGCAAACA